AACGCACGAGACCUGCGGACCUGCGGAAGGAUCAUUACAGGACUCGCAAGACUCCUACAACCCUGUGAACUUAACUAUAAGCACGUUGCUUCGGCGGGUGUCUCGGCGAGGGUUCUCCCUCCCCGGGGCGCUAAGCCCGCCGGCAGCCCACUAUACUCUGUCUCUUUGCGUUGGCAUCUCGAGUACAAACAAACAAGUUAAAACUUUCAACAAUGGAUCUCUAGAUCGGAAGAGCACACG
This 240-nucleotide unclassified non-coding RNA is filed under the name soil metagenome. RNAcentral describes it as "partial contains 5.8S ribosomal RNA, internal transcribed spacer 2, and large subunit ribosomal RNA". The record is from RNAcentral.